RNAcentral lists this long non-coding RNA (10671 nucleotides) under Setaria italica (foxtail millet). RNAcentral describes it as "long non-coding RNA (SITA_LNC004004)". Lineage: Eukaryota; Viridiplantae; Streptophyta; Magnoliopsida; Poales; Poaceae. The record is from RNAcentral.
CUGUUUGGUGGCUGCUGACCUUGCUGGUAUAGUCAUUGCUUGUUUCUCCAUUGAUUCUUGCUUCCGCAUCCGUUGUAACCUUCUUUUUUGAGUAUGAGAUAAGCCUGAGGGACACCACCUCGGCUGCAGGUAUUUUGAAUCUUCCUUGCUAUCUUUCUUACCACCUUUAGUAACAAAAGGGUGCACUUUUAACCAGAUUAUUGCUAGCAACAAUUGGUCUUUGUAAUGAACCACAGUUUGAAUAUACAGAAGAAUAUGAAGCAAUACAUGGUUGCAUAUAGAAACCCUUAUGAUCAGGAGGUGAAUAAUAGUAGGGGUAUGGCCAAGACCAUGGCGUAGUCAGCCAAAAAGGUGUAUGUAAUGCAGCAGCAUAGUUUGCAUGAUAUUCACAAGAACAAGACAGAUUUUGAUUUUUACCUUUAUUAUGCCGACUCCCUUGUUUCUGACUAGAUGCUUUCUUCUCAUAUUUGGCCAACAGAUCCUUGAAAGUCAGCUUUGCCUUAUUCUUCAGAUCUCACUUGGCUCCAGAUUUUUUAGGAUGACCGGUCAGACCGGUUCCCUAACCGGUCAGACCGGUCUAUGCAGAACCGGUAGCCUUGCUUUUGCCUUGCCCCCUGAGCAUAGAAGUCUUUGCUGUGACUUGAGGCACCUUUUUCUCAGGUCUUCCUUCACCAAUAAUCACAUUCUUCCCUUUAUCCUUUUCGGCUUGAUCCGGCCGAAUUAGCACUUUAGGAUUUGUCAACUCAAGAGUAUUCACCGAAAAAGGAUUUUGAUCAACUUGCAUUUCAUGAAAAGUCAAACGACCUUCAUUAAUGGCCGAUUGUAUUUGCCGGCGAAACACAUUGCAAUCAUUAGUGGCAUGUGAGAAAGUAUUAUGGAACUUGCAAUAUGCUUUCGUCUUCAACUCUUCAAACGGAGGCAUAGUAUGAGAAAUUUUUAGGUGCCCAAGUUUAAGCAACUCGUCAAAAAUCCUAUCGUACUUGGCUACAUCAAAAGUAAAUUUCAUAUCUUCUUGCCAAUUCUUUCGGACCGGCUUGAGAGAAGCAUAAGUACCAGGUUUACCCUUGUGGGGCAAUACAAACUUAGCGGUUAAAACAUCAUUGCUCUCAUCGUCCGAGGAAUCAUAAUCUAACAUCUGCAUGUUAGGAUGAUCAGAUUUGAGCCGACUAUCUUUAGUUCGGCUUUCCUAAGCCAAAGCUCUUUGCAAGACUUGGGUAACAUUAGCAAAUUCAUGACCUUCCAAUUUAUCUCUAAUAUAGGAUCGCAAUCCAUUAAAAGCUAAUUCAGCAAGAUUCCUCUCAGAGAUGACAAGACUAUAACAACGGUUUUUUACAUCUCCGAACAUUCUGAUAUAAUCAGCAGUAGACUCAUCAGGCUUUUGCUUAACCAAUGUUAAAUGACUCAAUCUUAACUCAUCAUCUCCACUAUAAAAGUGGUCAUGAAAUUUUUGUUCUAAUUGUACCCAAGUAUGAAUAGAAUUAACAGGUAAUGAAGCAAAUCACGAGAAAGCGGUUCGAGUUAAAGAUAAAGAAAAUAACCGUACUUUUAAUUCUUCUACAGAACCAGCUUCUCCUAAUUGAGCAAGAUAUUGGCUAAUAUGCUCCCAAGUGGUUUUGCCAUCAUCCCCACUAAACUUCACAAAUUCAGGACAACGCCAACCAGAAGGAUAAGGAGCUGAAUCAAAACUCAAAGGAUACGACAUUUGAUAGGUAUGGGUUUUAUGCUUCACCUCUAUUCCAUAAUCUUCCUUCAUUUGUUUAGCGAGAUUGGCAUGAAACCUAUCAAGAACUUCUUGAAUAGUGGUUGGCGGAGGCAAUUGUGGUGUAAGAGCAUUCGAUUGCAACACAUUCUGUUGUAUAGGUGGACUAUAAACAUUCUGUUGCAAACGGCUAUUGAAUUGGGAAUCAGGCAUGGAACCAUAUGAACUACCCAACCCAAAAGGCACCGUAGGUGGAGCGCUAUAAGCUGCUGUAGGAUAUGGAUUUAAAACUCCAGGAAUCUCACCAGAUCGGCUAGAGAUAGCUUGAACGGGAGGUACAACAGCUAUAGGCUCAGGAGACGACACAUACAGGACCAAAGCACCCUGACCGGUCUGACCAGUUAGACCAUGCGGUCUGACCGGUUGAUACUGACCAGAUCGAGGUAGAGGUGAUUGUCCCACAAAGUAGUUCAACAGUAUGCCAUACUGAGGCCCCGCUAUGGGUGUUGCCGAUGUACUAUUAGAUGGGAUCUGAGGUGGUACAGGAUUAGAAACAGAUGCAACAUCAUUGCCCUCCUCCACACGUUUACCAUUAGCCUUAUCUACCAUAUCUUGCACACUCUCAUUUAUCGAUAAGCGCAGAUUGUCAAUUACGGUAGUAAGAUCAACCAUGGUAACAAAAGGAGAUGGCAGUGAUGAUGUGCUCACAUUGGUUUGUACCUCAGGUGGUAGAGUGCUGAAAGCGUUGUUGGAGGUAGAAGCGAAGUCGAUCUCCUUAAUCUUCUUGACCGCGCCUCUUCGGUCGACUUCAAAGCUCACAAUUGCGGCUCGCAAGUCUUCCUCAUCGUGCUUCUUCUUGCACUCCUCCAACAUCUGGCAGAUCUCUUCAGGAAGUUGCUCGAAUGUCGGGUUGACCACGUUCUUUAUAGUAACAUUGGAAAGAUCUUCUUCACCGACCAUUGCAACCGAUGUGUCUUUCUUCUUCUUCCCCAGCGGAGUCGCCAAAAUGUGUUGACACUUUUUUGGGCCAACACAUGAACGCACACGACCGUGCGGCAUGCGGAGGGGCUCGCUACAGCACCUCGGCGCAGGCCGGUCUGACCGGUUUAGGGAUCGGUUUGACCAGUUAUCGGGCAAGCCGACGGUAGACCUUCGAACGCUCGUCGGGGAAGGAUCCCGUCGGGGCAGGCGCAAGCAGGGUUGCUCUAGGAUUGGCAGGCCACCUAGAGCGCCUUCAGACAUCGUCGAGACGAAGGAAGAACAGCAGGUAGUAGAUUGGAAAAGCUAGGGUAAAAGAAUAAAGAAAAAGACGAUAAAUAGUAGAUUGGUUGUUGUCGAUUGGGUUGGAUGUCCUCAAUCGGCCGAAUCCCUUUAUAUUUACAGGGAGGGAAGAUCUUCCCCACGCAGGAGUCGAAACCCUAAUACAACUCGUGCUAAACUACAACUCCUACUCGGAUUACACAGAGCCAGACUGGUCAGACCGGCCUGGGCAACCGGUCUGACCGGGUGCAGAUCUUGUGAAGGUCGUAUCUCCCUCAUCCGAACUCCAAAUCGGACGUUCUAUAUAUUAAUCUUGAUCUAUUCGAUGAGGUCUACACAAUGGUGGAGUCCAAUCUUCAUUUGGAGCACCUUGAUCCAACCGGUCUGACCGGUGGGGUUAACCGGUCUGACUUGUCUGCACAGGGUGCUGAUCUUCCCGAGGGCAUAACUCUCUCAUCCGAAGUCCAAAUUAGACGUUCCAUAUAUGAAUUUCAAUCAUAUCAACGAAAGCUACGCCAUGGUGAAGUCCAAUUUGUAUUUUGGAAACUUUUCUCGAAUCGGUCUAACUGGUUGGGAGACCGGUCUAGACAGGUCUGAUCGGAUCUUCUAAGUCCUGCCACUUUUGGGCGUCAACACAUAGUCAUCUAAAUCAUCCAAUGCAUUUAUGAUCUUUUUUUUAAAGGAAACCUUUAUGAGCUUCCAUCGAGUGAUUUCAAACUGUCGUGUCUGUAAGCUAUACCCUAAUAGCUUGGUGUUCAUAAUUAUAAUACGUGGGCAUCAGAAAAGAUGAGCAUGCUUAUGGGUUCCUUAGACUGCAUGCUUGACGGCUGACUAGCUAGCCGUGUGUGCUCCGCCGAGAUUGACUGCUGACGGUGGAGCAACAAGCAAUUUGCGAAGAAAGUGAAUGUGGACUAGAUCAAAAGUACCACUGCCCUUUGGUUGGACAGAGAAAAACUAGAUGGGAUGGGAUGGUUUGAAAAUUGUGGACCCAACUAAGGGUUUGUUUAGGUAGUAGUGGAUCAAAGUGAAAUGAAAGGAAUAGGAGGGGAAACUAGUUCAUUUUAGACUCAAUCCCUUUCGUUCCACUCCCAUCAUCAUCUAUCAAAUAAGUCCUAAACGAAUGUACGAAAUACCAUGUAAUCGAGAUGGCAAUGUGCCCAAAUGUCCAGUCUACGUGGAGCACAUUUUCUCUUCUUAGCCCGGCCAUCUUCUAUUCUUCUUGACUGGAGAGAGAUGCCUUCACGAGAGAAGCGCUCGCCAAAAGGUGUCCCGCUAGCAAGGCUGCAACCAGCGCGCAACUCAGCAUCUCCCAGAAAGGCCUCCCGCCUCCGCCUCUCCCUUCGAUUGCAAUGGCAUCUCUCGUACGCCGAAUCGCUUUAAAGCCCAUCGUCCUCGUCCUGCCGUCCACGUAGCACGCACAGGCGCCACUGCCGCCAUACGCGCGCCUAUGCCGCUGCCGAGCACGUAGACGUCUCCCUCUCCCCAGCCUUUUUUCCUCACGAGCACAGUGCCCGUCAACCCAGCUGGUGGCGCUUUCGACCGGGUUGAUGAGGGCUAUCGACGAACCUCGCCGAGGUUUCGCUUCGAUUUCGGCCCUCCCAAGGAAUUGAACGACCCGCAUCUCCCCUCCGGUCGACGUAUCCGGCAUCACAUCGGCGGCGGUAGCCACCAGAUCGGAAAAUCGCGGCUGCUCUCUUUUGGUGAUUCGGCGGGUUGCUUAUCAGGAAGCGUCGGCUUGCGGCAUAUUCCGCUUUGCGAGUCCACUACCAAAGCUUUGUGCCGCCACCGCCACGCACGAUGACGUCGACGGAUGCGCGCCAAAGGUGGUGACCACUGACAAGUCGUGCACCGAAAUAUUGGCCUGUCCCCGAUAAUGGCAUGCUCGGCAAAUCUUCUUCAGUUCAGUCAAAAGCAGGCGAAGUGGCGGCCUCGGGAGCUCCCAUGUAGCUAGUGGAAGCUAGAUAAGUAACCUAGCUUUAAAGCCCAUUAGCCCAUUUAGAAGUUUAAGUUAACAUUUUAGCAAACUAGUUUCAACGUUUUUCAACAGUUGAUCAACAUAUAAAAUUAACAGAUUUAACAUUUUUUUAAAAAUAUAGAUCAACAUUUUGUAAUAAAAAUACUACAUUCAACAUUUUUAACUACCUGCUUCAAAAUUUUGAUAAACUGGAUUCAACAUUUUUGUUUUUUUCUUUUUCAACCUCCGACGCGCAGGAUGCGUGGAUUCAACAUUUUUGUUUUUUUCUUUUUCAACCUCCGACGCGCAGGAUGCGGCCGCAGGCAUGCGUGGUGGCUGGGGCGCUCGCGGCGGAGGCCCGCGCGCCCGCAGGGUGCGGCUAGCCUCGGGGCUCCGGCGUGCAGGGGAGGCGGCGCGGACGGCCAGCGGUGAGCAGGGGCAGGCUGCGGCGGCGGCGGUGGCGGCGGCCGGCAGCGUCAGGUGGAGGUGUGGAGUUAGGGUUAAGGAUGUGGGUUGCAUCCAACCAAGGAAAUUGUUCACACGAAUCUCAGACAGUGAAAGUUGGAUAAAAAAACUUCCGGAAGCGUUUCCCGGCGGCCUCGGCACCGUAACGUCGUGGGUCAGAUUUCUUCCCACGUGCACGGUCGGCCCAGUUCAGUUACCCCGGCGGCGCUCAAGGUCUGGCCCAGUACUUCUUCUGCGGCACCAAAUCUAGCCCAGUGUCUCUUUUCAGUGGAAGAAAACUGGCCUGGUACGGAUUAAGGCCGAAUUAAGGCGUCAUCACUUGCAGGAUUAUACCUAGGCCAGCCAGAAGAACAUGGGACUGGAAGUGGCAAAUGGCAAAUGAAACUUGGUGAGUUGGUGUUGGGUCUCUUGUGCAAACUGCAAACUGAUAGUGUCACAUCCCCUUCAGACUCUGAAGCCUGCUGCUGUGCUGCAAAGUUCAUCGAGGCAUGAGUGCAUGACUGGGGUACUACCGUACUGCUCUGUAGAUUCCUUAUGCACGUACACCAUGGUAUUGGAUACUAUUAGGUAAUAUUCGGAACCCUUGAAACAAGAAUCAGUGCUGUGGACCUACUUUUGAAGGCACGAGGGAAAAGUAAACACUUCGUUAGUUGAACAGUGCACGGAGCAAUUCUUGACAGUUGACACGCAACGACCCAGAACGGAUCAGGGAAGCGGCCCUGUCCUUGUCGGUCGAGAAGGCUGGACGAGGAGUCCAGAACAAGUGACAACUGACAACCGGCCGGCCCUUAGCUAAGACCUCGAUUCGCACUGUAGCUACUCCGGUCAGUAUCUCCGAUGGCGAGCAACCACCAUCACGAGUUCACGACGGUGAGGCUUCAGUAGCCGACCAGCCGGCUGCCGGGUGUCACGGCUUGUCACCAAGCAACACAAGUAUUCGCAGGGACUCUCCCCCCAUCCCUGUCUGCCCACGCCGCGGCCGGCCGACCCGUCUGACCGCAGAGCUGCCGCCACCUCCGCCGCCACGAGCAUCGCUGGAAACCACCGUAUCCGUAUCAGCGUCAAGAGGCACUGUCUCGACGUACAUCGGCGAAGCUCGACGGCACUCGGCAGUGCUGUGCUGCCGCUGCCCGUCUCCUCUCCUGGACCUUUACUUUACCCUUUACCUCCGAGGCUAAGCAAGUUUAUUCGUGGGGCCCAGACGCACGUGUCCGUCCACGAUUCGCGUCACGACCCCGUCAGGGCCGUCCCACGUCUCGUCGAGGGGGUAGAAAAAGGGAAAGGGCCCGCGCGACGCCAAUGGCCACGUCGAAAUUUCAAAUACGCACCGAGCGCGCCACGGCUUUGCCCCACACACACAGUACAUGACUUGACAGACAUCCGAACCGGGCCCGCUCGCAGCUGCCUGCCUGCCCCACCCACUACCGCACCGCCCAGGGCCCAGGUCGGGUCCCAACCGGCCACGUCCGAAACCUAUGCGCCUAAGCAAGCCACUAAGCCAAACCCAGCGCGAAUCAUUAGCGGCGCGCGGGGAGGAGGCGCGGACCCUUAACCUUAUAAGACCAGGCGCGGGGAUGCUCCUAACCACGCUCACCAAACCCCCCGCGCCAUCCCAGUGAACUCACCAACCAAGCAGCACAGACUUGCCGCGGACACCCGCGACACGCCGAGGACUAGCGAGAGGAGCGCAGCGCGCGCGAGCGUCGAGUUUAUUUGUCGGAGCAGCCAGCGAGCGGCCAUGUCGAUGUCGUCGAUGAAGGCGAGCGACCCGGGGUCCGCGUGGUUCGGCAGCGGCGCCCGGACCCCGCCGGCGGGGAUGGGCGGCGGCCACAACGUGCGGCUCAUCACCACGGCCGUCGCGGCGUUCGUGUCCGUGCUCGGCCUCGCCCUCUUCCUCCACCUCUACGUCUGCCACGUCCGCCGCCGGAACCGGCGCCGCGCCGCGGCAGCCGCGGCCGUGCUGCCGACCACGACCGCCGCUGCGGCGAAGUGCGGGCUGGACCCCGCGGCCAUAGCGGCGCUGCCGACCGCCGUGUACGGCGGGGAGGCGGGCGGCGAGCCGGGCGCCUGCACCGAGUGCGCCAUCUGCCUCGGCAACGUGCAGGAAGGGGAGGUCGUGAGGGCGCUGCCCGCCUGCGGCCACGUGUUCCACGUCCCCUGCGUCGACACGUGGCUCGCGUCAAGCUCGUCGUGCCCGGUCUGCCGCGCCGAGGUGGAGCCGCCGCCGAUGGAGGAGGGCGCGGCUCGGCUGGUGCAGGAGAAGCUGCAGGACGCCGUGAAGGAGGAGGCGGGCAGCUGCAGCUCGACGCCGGAGCGCGGGAUCAGUGCCUGCGCGUCGCUGAUGAAGAUGCUGAGCAGGGAGAGGCCGGCGCCGCGGAGGCCACAGAGCGCCGUCCAUGCCGACGACGGGGAGCUAGACGACUUGGAACGUCAGCUGCAGGCAGUGAAUAAUUAAUCUAUUUAUUCUUUUUAAUUUGGUAAUUUUCCUCAUCAUUUGUACAUCCCGCACUUGCGUGAGUGGAGAAGUACUAAGAGAAGUGUGUGAGCUCCUCAUUUUUUUAAUGGAUGUAUGGGCUCAUUGGGAAAGAAGUGAUAUGGUUCCAAUCUACAGUUUAUUUUGUUCAAGUGUGAACAAAAUCCUAAAUUUUCCGGUUUAUCCACCCUUUAACUCAGGUAAUGAUGCUUAGCAGCAGUGGAUGAAGCUUGCAAUUUCCUCUUGUGCCCGUAAACAAGGCGAGUGGAUAAAGCUAAGCUAAAAGUUUUACCAGCAAAGUGGUUCCCACUAGGCAUAUGUGUCUUAAAGAUGACAUUGAUAUGUGGCAACAUGGAUUGACGCCUAUACGUAGAUCCUAAAAUAUAUAGGAAUUAAUUAAGAUGUGUCUAGAACAUAUGAAAACACAUUCCUUCCCGCUUUCCUCUUCCCUACUCUCGCAGUCUCACUCAACCAACUGGCACAUUUGUCUUUUUGUUGCAUGAUGUUGUCUCUCAAACUUCACUCUAUUUUGGUCCCCUCGAGGUUUUAGGUAAAGAACGUCACUUUUUUUUUUGCACGCCUUUAUCCUAUUUUUUUAUUUUUCAGAGUCCAAAAUUUUCUGCUGUAGGUACAAAUUAUCUAUUUUCUACGGGUCUCAUAAUUUAAAGUCUAUUUACUUGAAAUCUAAAAUUAUUUAACACGACUCAACUACAAACAAGUUUCACGUUUAUUUGUUGAGUAGAAAAAUGGUUUAAGGUCCCAGACAGUUUUUAAGCUCACCUUUGCAAGUGACGGUGCAUGACAGGAAUGCUCUUAUGAGAUGAGCCAAGUACAUUCUCCGAACCUGCAAUCAUCACAUCACUACAGUAUCCUAUGUUUUUUAGUUUAAAAAAAGUUAGAAAAUGCAUUAGUGCCGUCUAAUAGGUGCAUUGACAUGUAAUCUUGAGACGACUCAACAGUCAACCCGUACAAUGAGUUGUCUUAUAAGUUGUCUAGUAUAGUUAUAUAAUUUCUUAAUUUGUGCAUAUGAAAAAGAAAAUAUUAUGAGUUGCAUGGCCAUAAUAACUCGUACAAAUGGUUGUUGAGUUAUCUCGUAGUCCUACAAUUUAGCUCAUGAAACAACGAUCUUUUUCUAUCUCCUUGUUCUCUUCCACAUUAUCAAAAAUCCUACGUGACACUGCAUGAGACGACCUAUAAAACUGCUGACGUGUAGUAAUAUACUUGCUCUUGCUCGUCCACAAAGGUUCGCAUAGAAAAGACAACUAGAAAAGCAGUCCUGUCAUUUUUACCGAGGCUAAAGAAAACAACGGUGGAUGAACAUCAUGCGGCAUUCCGGAUAAGCUUACUAUAGUGUGGAAGCGCCCACUCACGGAACGGAAGCUGCGAAUGCUCAAGUUGACCCUCGUGCCCAUUCCAACUUUCCGCUGCCACGCACUGCCCUGCCGUUCGCCCCGUUCCCAUAGAGUAUUCGCGCACGGAGCGAUCACAUUACAGGUGCCGGUUCUCACGUAGGAGGAGUACGCAGUGCUCAAGAGGAAGUGUCCGUCCACACGAGUCAACACCAGCCAGCGAGGCAGCACCACUGCACCAGCCGGGGGUCAGCCUCAGCGCGGCGAGGAAAAACGCCGCGCGUGUCGCCGUCGCCCAAAGAACUCCCGACCCGCUGGUUCUCUCCGCACUCGAAGUCUUUGCAUCUGCUGGCGGAAAAGCAGGCAGGCCGGGAGUGCCCGUCCGACGCAAAAGCUGCGCCCGCCUACACGAAAGUUGCGGCCGGUGACUUGGAAAGUCGCCGGUGACGUCGCCGUACCGGGCCAAGAAAAUUCGGUUGGAUCGCCGGGGAAAAAGAGAUCGACGGCAACGGGAUUCCAGCCGGCCGGCCCGGCUAGACUAUAGACUAGGCCCCCCCGGCGAGUAGGUAGUUGGACGGGACCGGCCGGCCGGCCGACGGAGCAUCCAUCCGCGAGAGCAAUUCGGCUCGAGUUCCAUAUGGGAAUGGAUGUGAUAGUGCAGCAGCGGCCUCGAGUGCCCUAAUUUGAAUAGAGAAGCGAGGCAUCUCCGAUCCGUGUUUGGGGGCAGAGCGAGAUAAACAUGCCGAGUCCGGCUUGUGAUUAUUCUAUGACGAGUGAUUUGCUUUGGCUUAGUGGUAAACAAGGUUUAGGGGGCAGGGCAUCAGGGUAGCAUGGAACCUUGCCGAACAUGAAAAGUUUGUUUGUGCUCCGAUGCUUCAAUUUGGACCAUCCGUCGAGGGCACUAAGUGCUCUGGAUUAGCAGGAAUCGAUUCGGGCCUCGAAGAUUAUAAGGAUAAAGCUAAGAUAAAGCUCACCGGCCUCAUGCUUCUCGCAUGAUUAAUAGUACCACUACCCUACUGGUUAGUGGUUACUACUACUACGAUAAAAUUAACCUUAGGUUAACAGGCUAUUCCAGAUAAGGCGGAGGAUAAUGACAUCACAUCAGGACUAGUACUAGUAGGCUGCAGGUAGCGUGAAGUACUGGAAACCGGAUUGCGGAUAACCCUCACAGCAUCUGCUGAAACCAUGCCUGUAUUUAGGCCACACCUUUUUUGCCCUGUGAUCAGGACUCUUCCUUUUAUGGAUGGAGAGAGAGGGGUGAAGACUCUCCUUAAGAGAGACAGAGAACCAAUAAAGACUGUCCUUAAGAGAGACGGAGAAUCAAAUAAGCACCGUGAACCCAAAAGAAGAAGAAGAAGAAGAAGAGAGAGAGAUAGAGACCAGCACCUGAAAGCAGCAUAAAAGGCAGUAUGUCUUCUUACUCUGCACAAGUAGUUAUCUGAAACCAGAGCUGAAGUGUUGAACAUUCGCG